UCGCUGGAAGAGGGGGUCGCGGCUGAUUAGCUAGUUGGCGGGGUAACGGCCCACCAAGGCUUAGAUCGGUAGCCGGCCUGAGAGGGCGCACGGCCACACUGGAACUGAAACACGGUCCAG
This 120-nucleotide ribosomal RNA is filed under the name uncultured bacterium. RNAcentral describes it as "partial 16S ribosomal RNA". It matches the Rfam family "Bacterial small subunit ribosomal RNA", at positions 215 to 334 of the family's 1533-position model. The record is from RNAcentral.